This 503-nucleotide ribosomal RNA is filed under the name uncultured bacterium. RNAcentral's name for it is "partial 16S ribosomal RNA". It matches the Rfam family "Bacterial small subunit ribosomal RNA", at positions 28 to 523 of the family's 1533-position model. The record is from RNAcentral.
GAUGAACGCUAGCGAUAGGCCUAACACAUGCAAGUCGAGGGGCAGCAUAGAGUAGCAAUACUUUGAUGGCGACCGGCGCACGGGUGAGUAACACGUAUGCAACCUACCUACAUCAGGGGAAUAACCCGGAGAAAUUCGGACUAAUACCGCAUAAUACAGGGAUGCCGCAUGGCAAUAUUUGUUAAAGAUUUAUCGGAUGUAGAUGGGCAUGCGUUCCAUUAGCUAGUUGGUAAGGUAACGGCUUACCAAGGAAACGAUGGAUAGGGGAACUGAGAGGUUUGUCCCCCACACUGGAACUGAGACACGGACCAGACUCCUACGGGAGGCAGCAGUGAGGAAUGUUGGUCAAUGGACGAGAGUCUGAACCAGCCAAAUCGCGUGAAGGAAGACUGCCCUACGGGUUGUAAACUUCUUUUGUACAGGAAUAAAAGACAUUACGUGUGAUGUAUUGCAUGUACUGUACGAAUAAGCAUCGGCUAACUCCGUGCCAGCCGCCGCCGUAA